AAAAAUUUCUAGUUUACAAAUAAGCCGAGUUACGACCAUUUAAUCGGGUAAAAUUUAAAUUCCGUUUAACGUUGGUAUGGGGUGGAUCCCCACCUGGCCACAAACUCAAGUCCUAUAUAAGGGUUGAGAGGUCACCAACUUGAACUUUUUACCACUCUAGUCACUCUAUCUCUCUACUGUCUCUCUUCAAGGCCCGAUUCUUCCAAAAAUCCACAAGUUUCCGCUCCCAAACUAUAAGUUCUCUUACCAUAGAUUGUUCUAAAGCUCAUUACAUGUCUAUAUAGCUUGAAAAUCAUCCAUGAAGGCCAAGAACAAGGAAUUUAUGGCCCAAGAACCCCUAUUAGGCCGUAAACCCCUAAAAGUGUGCCAAAAUGCCCCAAAUCCCUCCCUUAGGCUUAGAGGUUAACUUGGAACUUACCCUUGAAGUGUUUUAGACGUCAAAAUAUAUGUUUGGAGGUUUGAAAGAGGGUUUACGGCCCAAGAACAUUCUAAGGCCGUCAACUCCCUCAAAUGAUGCAAAAUGAGCCUAAACCCCUUAUUUAGCCUUAGACCAUAAACUAGAAACUUGUAAGAAUGAGCUUAGGACCUCAAAACAAAGGAAAAGGGUGUGUCUAAGGGUUUACGGCUGUAAACCAUAGAGUUUAUGACCGUAAACUCCCAUGGAGUGGCCCUAGGACCGCAAACUCUAGGGAGUGCCCCUUUUGAACCCUAAACACCCCUCAAGCGUUGGAAUUGAUCUUAGAAUCCUUCCUAGCGAUACAAUAGACCUUAAGGAACACAAAUACACUCCUCCCAUGAGUUUACGGCCAUAAACUCAUGGGGGAAUGGGUCCCUCAACCUCAAACUCACCUAAGGUGAGUAUUUGAGGAGUAAACUCCAUAGUGAGGCCUUACACUCCUUCCUUGCAACCUAAUAGCCUCCUAGCACUUGACCAAAGCGUUUUUCUUCGCAUUAGGAUGCCUAUACAUGUUAAAUUAGUGUUUUAAUCACUAAUUAUAUGUAAACAUAUGUCUUCAUAUGUUACUAGGGUCAUAAUGUGUGUUUAAGUCUUCACUUGACACCAAACACUCAACCGAGACUUUCAUCCGAUCCAUUCGCUACAGGUGAGUUCAUACCCCUUAAUUAACCUUUCAAUUGUUUUUAAAUGUUUUUAUGGGGGGGGAGGAAUACAAGUUGAAUCCAACAAUUUAUAUUAUCAAUCACAUGCGAUUUGUAGCUUACAAUCAAAAAAGGGAUUCUAUACUUUCAACUGUUUGUCUUCAAAAAGUUAUUUUCAAUGUUAUUCAAACUCAUUUUUCUGUAAAUUUGUUAUCAAAAAUAUUUUCAAACUCUUUUAAACUGUUUAUGUUUUUAAGAUGUAUCCACACCAAUAUAUUUAUAUAAGUAGGACUAGAAGGACCUAGGACUGAUAGCUCGCCUUAUUACCUGUUCUUGUUUGAUUGGGGUCUUGGGGAUAUUGUUAUCUGUCCGAAUGUCAUUGAAUUCUUCUUUAUAUAUUGUAUAUAUUUGUGUUGGAUAUGAAUACCUUCGUUUACUCCAAUAUUUAUUAGUAUCCAAGAACGACGGCAACAUGCCAGUUAACUAUAAUAGUUAUAGUCAAGGUUUACCACUCCUCGCUACUAUUACUAUGGUACUUACUACCGUUAGUGCUAUUAUGAGUUGCUACAUGUUAAAUACUAUACAGGAAGAAUACAAUAUGCUAUAACAGAAGAAUACUAAAUACAUUAUACCGAGAAGCAUACUAUAAACUAAUACAAAAGAACAUACUAAUACAGAGUGUGAUGUAAUAUUUCUACAUACGGCACUUUACUGCGCCUCCACCGUGUAACCUUAGUCUCCUGGAGGGAUAGCGGCAACUAUGUGUGUAGAUCUAUACAGGGCGGAAACUUACACAUCCUGACUGGUAGGUACAGUCCGAGCCGUCUAGUCCCAGGGAUGAUAACAUGCUACUACACUACAUAUGACCUGGAGGGUCAUGAUACAUUUAAUCGCCUAUCCGCAUGGUUACAUACUUAUUCACAUUCGGAACCCUAAUCUAACAAAUUACAAAUUGUAGGUAAAGUAGACUCUCCGAGGUGUAUUAAAUACAUAUCGCUACCUAGAGUCUAUGGUUAAUUACCAUCCAAUCGGUAGUAACACCACUAGAAUAAUACAUUAUCAACCCAUUUACGUUGUUCAAGUGAAGUCCAAAUUAUAUUUUAUAAUUAUGAGUCUAAUUGGGAAAAAAAUUUACACACUCAAAGGAUCAAACUUACAAGUAAUCAAGUCUUGGCAGAAGACUACUCUUAUUAGAAAAUAUAGGAUUUUCAAGAGAUUCACACUAUUUUCAAACUUAAUAACAACUUUCAUGUUAUACGAUUGUAAACAUUUUUAUACGAGCAAUGACAGUAAAUUCUUAUGAACUCACCAGCUUUAUGCUGAUACUCGUUUUCAAAAUAACUUGUUUUCUCAGGUCGGCAAUAGACAGGUAUAGAUGCUGUUUUUGAGAAGAUGGAGCGCACACAAGACUCGUCUUUAUUUUUUAUUAUACUUUUGGUGUCUAACAAACUGUACAGAACACGCUUGUAUUACAAUUACUAUAUUGAUGAAAUCAAUGUUGUUGCUUGUUUUUACUAUUAUGCAUUGUUAUGAUACUGUACAUGACGUCCUCCACCCCAGAAUGUAUUCCGCCGUUCUCGGUUUUGGGGUGUGACAGAUUGGUAUCAGAGCAUUGUUUAUAGUGAAUCAAGUAUAUCAACCCAUAAAAGAUAUACGAACUAUAAACACUUCGGGACUAAAACACUCUGACCAAGAAUAUAUACUUUUAAAUACUAAAAUAUUUAACUAAGUAUAUAUAUAUACGCAUCCAUUAAUACAAAGGAUCAGUAUCAUACUAGAACAGAACGAAAGUAUUAAGAUUGUUGAAUAGCACAAUUAGGCUUAUAGACAUAUAGUCACUCCUGGUUGGAUGUAGCCUGAUCAACUACAUUUUCCUAGGAGUGACUAGCAUGUGCCUAAGACUGAUGGUGGUGUUGCAACAAGUCUAAAAACUUACCAACACUACCACAAGAACAUUAGAACAAGAAUACUAUAGGAGUAUUCUGCAUUCUACUAACCACAUAUGUGAUAACUAAAAGGGGUUGUUACUAGUAGGGCAAUAGUUUCUAAGUGGAUACACCAUGGUUACAUGUGACUAGGGCGCUAUAGACUUAGAAUCUGUGACCUUUGCUUCAUUUCUUGUUCUUGUCUGAUUGGGGAUCUGGAGUUAGGGUUCUUUAUUCAAAGGACUAUCUUGCUUCGGUUACAUGUAUCUGGUAUGCACUAUGCAAGUAUUGGGUCGACUAAUAAAUACCAUCUUAUAAGUAUCCUAGAUUAGUAAGUCUAUUAACCUUUCUUUCCCCAUUCUCGCGUAGAUAGCAUGGCUGGCUUCCACCUUCCCGGCGAUCCGUAUUACCCAAACCAAGGCAAUGGAGGAUGGCGAUGAGGAUCNGAUGAGGAUCCAGAAGAUGAUCACCCGAUCCCUUUGGAUGAUCACCAUGCAGAAGGCUUUUCAGAUAGCUCCAGCUCUGAGCCAGAAGUCAACAACCUACCCCCUGUAGCUCCAAAACCCAACCCCCGCCCAGCAUUUCAAGGUCCCACUCCCAUGUGGGCAUCAACCUUGAACCGAUGGAGCGAUGAACAAGGUCAGCCUUUACCUUUCAACGGAGACCGAAGCUUCUACAACGUAAGCGAGGGUGGCUCAGCUGAUCGAGCCCUACCCGUCAUGGUUCGGAGGAUUGCUAGAAAUGUUGAGCAAGGUCAUGCAGCGAUCGACAAAUUUGUGGAAAUUGAUGCCAACUCUAACCUUAACAUUGUCCGUAUCUGCCAACUGGAAGAAGCUAUGGAUAGGACAAGGAGAACCAAUGAGGCUAUGCAGCAACAGCUAGCGGCAUCCCGAGCCGAAGUUAGGGAACUCCGAGCAUGCCAGAGAGAGCAAGAAAUACAUCUUCAAGAAGUUGUGUGCCAACUGGCUGAUCUUAGGGUUCGCUUAACGGAUACCCAUCGCCAGUAGAAGAUGUCCACUUAUCUCUCUCUUUUGUUUAAGGAAUAGCCUUUUCUUCUCUAUGCUCGGUAGAGCACUUGUCUGUAAACAUUCCUAACUUUGAAAGUACUUUACCUAGGAUCCUAAACUGCCAACAUUUUCCUUAUGGUUUGAUGUAAGACCUACUGUUAGGUCACUUUUCCCGAACUCACAUUACAUCAUUAAUACCAGUAAUAUUGGCAGUUACCUACUCUGUUGCUAUGACUCUCUCUGAUUUUUCGGCUAUGUUGAUUUAGUCCAGUAAACGCUCUUAUCAUACUUGAAAUAGACUCUUACUAUUUUCAGCAUCUCUAUGAACUUUCAGUAAAAGAUGCCUCCUCACAAGCGCCCGAACAGAGGCAAACCUGCGAGUCAAACCCCACCUCCACCACCUCCUCCUCCGCAGUUCGAUCCAGUGCUGUUUCAAACAGCGAUGACCGCAACUGUGACGGAAGCCAUGGCCCAAAUGAAUUAUGGCGAUGCUAGUGGAGCCAGAAUGGGCACCAACUCCAGACAUGGUGAAAUUCCCUCACGUACACAGGGGUGUACUUAUAAGGAUUUCAUGAACUGUAAACCAACAUUUUUCAAUGGGACCGAAGGAAUCCUUGCUCUGUCCCAAUGGAUCGAAAGAAUCGAAGCCGUCUUUGAAAUGUGCUCAUGCGCCGAAGAAAUCAAAAUAAAGUUUGCUGCUGCCACUUUCACUGAAAGGGCCCUGACAUGGUGGAAUGGCCAUGUCAAUUCACUCUCUUUAGUAACAGUCAACGCCAUGGGCUGGGACACACUAAAGGACCUACCGAGAAGGGAGUACUUCCCUAGAGGUGAGGUUCAGAGACUUGAGGAGGAACUCUGGAAUCUCAAGAUGAAAGGGGUAGACAUAGUGGCAUAUAAAACCAGGUUCUGCGACCUGGUAGCUAUGUGCCCUAACAUGAUCCCCUCUGAAAGCAAGAAAAUUGAACAAUACAUCUAGGGUUUAGUGCCCCCAUAUCAAGGAAACGUUCUAUCUUCACAUCCUACAACCUUUGACAGCGCCAAGGAGUUGGCCCACAGGUUGAUUGAUCAUGAAACUCCUUCCACUCCAUCAACAGCAACAACAACCGCCACUGUACCGCCCAAGACAUCCGACAACAAGAGGAAAAGGUGGGACAAAAAGAGGGACAAGAAAGCUCAAUCCUCUUCUAAAAACAAACAGAUGUUGGCUGUCCAUGCUGCCACCACUCAUGCUACCCCUGUACCAGCAAAAGCCUAUAUUGGAAACCUGCCCAAGAGCCCAAAGUGCCCUUUUCAUCAUAACGGCCCCUGCCGUGAAAUGCACUGCACAAAUUGCGAUCGGAAGGGCCAUACCGCCCGCUUUUGCAGAUCUCAACCCAAACCCAUCUCUCAGGUCUCCGGUUCUGGAGUUAGCCAAGCCUGUUACGGCUGUGGCGAAGUGGGGCACUUCAAGAAAAACUGCCCAAAAGCUGGAAAUACGGGAGGAACGGGGAAACUACUUGCUAUUGGCCACAGUGAAGCAGUAGCAGACCCCACAGUAGUCACGGGUACGUUCCUUCUCAACAACUCUUACGCUUGUAUCUUAUUCGAUAGUGGGGAAGAAAGAAGCUUUAUAAACCAAAACUUUAAACACUUACUUAAGUUCUAAUGAUAUCUACCUAGGUUGUACCCUCACACUAGAUGAUCAUUCGUUCCCAGUCGACCUCAUACCAGUAUCGAUCAAGAGCUUCGAUGUCAUUGUGGGCAUGGACUGGUUGAGUCUCCAUCGUACUGAUAUCUUGUGUUUCGACAAAUCAAUCCAUCUAAAUCUACCGAAUAACGAAACCCUGUUAAUCUACGGGGACAAACCUAGUACAAGCCUUCGCAUCAUCUCGAGUAUUCAAGACCAGAAGUACUUGCACAAGGAAUAUCGCGCAUUCCUUGCACACGUUGUCGAAACGAGCCAGAAAAUGAAAGAUCUAAAAGACUUCCCCAUUGUAUGAGACUUCCCCGACGUCUUUCUAGAGGAGCUACCAGGUUUACCUCCCAAACGUCAGGUUGAGUUCAGAAUCGAUCUAAUUCUGGGAGCUACCCCCAUAGCCAAAUCGCCCUAUCGUCUAGCACCUGUUGAGAUGCAAGAACUGUCCAGUCAACUUAACGAGCUGCUCAGCAAGGGCUUUAUAAGACCGAGCUUCUCACCCUAGGGAGCACUGGUCUUGUUCGUGAAGAAGAAGGACAGAUCGUUUCGUAUGUGCAUCGAUUAUAGGGAGCUCAACAAACUCACGGUCAAAAAUAGUUACCCUCUUCCCCGUAUAGACGAUUUAUUUGACCAACUGCAAGGGGCGACUUACUUCUCCAAGAUUGAUCUAAGGUCUAGGUAUCAUCAAUUGCGAGUGCUUGAGGAGGAUGUCCCGAAAACUGCUUUCCGAACUCGUUACAGACACUACGAGUUCGUAGUGAUGCCCUUCGGACUGACCAACGCACCCGCAGUAUUCAUGGACUUAAUGAAUAAGGUGUGUCGUCCUUACUUAGAUCAGUUCGUCAUCGUCUUCAUCGAUGACAUACUUGUCUACUCUCGGAGUAAGGAGGAGCAUAGCGAUCAUCUACGACGAGUCCUAGAAACCCUGCGAUCGGAGAAGUUAUAUGCGAAGUUCUCUAAGUGCGAAUUCUGGAUCCGAAGAGUCGAAUUCUUGGGACACGUGGUUAGCGAGGAAGGAAUCCACGUGGACCCAUCCAAGAUUAAAGCUAUCGAGAACUGGUCAGCACCGAAGACGCCUACAGAAAUUCGUCAAUUUCUAGGCCUCGCUGGCUACUACCGCAGAUUCAUUCAGAACUUGUCUAGGAUCGCGAAACCCCUUACCACAUUGACCCAGAAGGGCAUGACCUUUGACUGAGGAGAGAAACAGGAGAAAGCAUUCCAGACCUUGAAACGAGGCUUAUGCACCGCACCAAUACUAUCCCUCCGCGAGGGGACAAAAGAUUUUGUAGUAUAUUGCGAUGCGUCUAACCAGGGGCUCGGUGGUGUCUUGAUGCAAGGAGGUAAGGUCAUCGCCUAUGCCUCGAGGCAGCUGAAGACAUAUGAGGUUAACUACACCAUGCACGACCUCGAGUUAGGAGUGGUUGUAUUCGCUCUAAAGAUCUAGAGACAUUACCUGUAUGGUACGAAGAGCACAAUAUACACUGACCACAAAAGCCUCCAACACAUACUGAACCAGAAGGAGCUCAAUAUGAGACAACGACGGUGGGUCAGCUACUAAAUGAUUAUGACUGCGAGAUUCGUUAUCACCCGGCAAAAGCCAAUGUAGUAGCAGACGCCCUAAGUCGAAAAGAAUAUUCUGGUUGAAGAGUCAGGUCAUUAACAAUGACUAUCCAUUCGCAUUUAUCCGCACAGAUUAUGGAGGCUCAGCUCGAAGCUUUGAAGCCUGAGAAUGUGGUGGGAGAAUCCCUACGAGGAAUGGAUAAGAACUUGGAGGUCAAGGGUGACAGAGCCUUAUAUCUCAUGGACCGAAUCUGGACACCGCAUCACAGUGGUUUCAAAGACUUGGUCAUGAAGGAAGCACACAACACUUGAUAUUCCGUUCACCCAGGUUCAGAUAAGAUGUAUCUGGAUCUUAAAAAGUCAUAAUGUUGGCCUAACAUUAAAGCAGAGAUUGCUACCUUCGUGAGUAAAUGCCUUACUUGCGCGAAGGUCAAGGUCGAAUACCAGAAGCCAUCAGGUCUACUAUAGCAACCGGAGAUACCUGAAUGGAAGUGGGAGUGAAUCACUAUGGAUUUCAUAACCAAGCUACCCAAGACAACAGGUGGGCUUGAUACCAUAUGGGUCAUCGUCGACAGAUUGACCAAGUCCGCACACUUCCUACCCAUCAAAGAGACAGAUAAGAUGGAGAAACUCACAAGAACAUACAUUAAGGAAAUCAUACGACUGCAUGGUGUCCCUAUAUAUAUAAUCUCUGAUAGAGAUAGUAGGUUCACUUCGAGAUUUUGGCAAUCACUACAAAGCGCCUUAGGGACGAGGUUGGACAUGAUUACAGCCUACCAUCAGCAGACCGACGGGCAAAGUGAGAGGACUAUCCAAACCCUGGAAGAUAUGUUGCGAGCCUGUGUGAUCGACUUUGGUAAGGCUUGCGAUACCCACUUACCCCUUGUUGAGUUUUCAUACAACAACAGCUAUCACACGAGCAUCAAAGCAGCUCCAUUCGAAGCCCUCUACGGCCGAAAGUGCAGAUCCCCUCUGUGCUGGGCUGAGGUGGGUCCGGAAAUCAUUCGAGAAAUGACCGAGAAGAUCAUACAGAUUCGUGAAUGAUUAAAAGCCGCUAGAGAUCGACAGAAAAGCUAUGCAGACAAACGAAGAAAACCUUUGGAAUUCCAGGUAGGAGACCGAGUCCUUUUGAAAGUCUCACCUUGGAAAGACACGAUACGCUUUGGAAAGCGUGGAAAGCUGAAUCCAAGGUACAUAGGGCCUUUCGAGAUUCUCGCUAGAAUCGGCCCCGUAGCCUACAAACUUAAUCUACCCUGCGAGCUCAGUAACAUACAUCCUACCUUCCAUGUCUCAAACCUGAAAAAGUGCCUAUCCGACGAGACUCUCGUAAUCCCACUCGACGAGAUCGAGGUCAACAAGAGCCUUAACUUCGUGGAAGAGCCUACGGAGAUCAUGAAGAGGUCAAACGAAUGAAACUAAGCCGCAUCCCAAUUGUGAAGGUUCACUGGAACGCUAAACGAGGACCGGAGUUCACUUAGGAGCGCGAGGAUCAAAUGAAACUCAAAUAUCCUCAUCUCUUUGCUUAGUUGUAUUGUAAUAACUUAGCUACUUAAAUUCGAAAUUUCGGGACGAAAUUUCCUCAAUGGGGGGAUGAUGUGACAACUCGAAAUUUAUUCCAUUGCGAUAUCCCAUUUCCGUUAAUAGAAUAUUUUUUUUUAUUAUUAAUAUUAAGAUUUCCGUUAACAGUUGGGUUAUACAAAUCAACUAAUGAUUUAUUUUAUUUUAUUGUCGAAAUGAAAUAAAUAAAAACACGUGUAAUACCCUCAAAUUUAUUUGGGAAAAAUUUCUAGUUUACAAAUAAGCCGAGUUACGACCAUUUAAUCGGGUAAAAUUUAAAUUCCAUUUAACGUUGGUAUGGGGUGGAUCCCCACCUGGCCACAAACUCAAGUCCUAUAUAAGGGUUGAGAGGUCACCAGCUUGAACUUUUUACCACUCUAGUCACUCUAUCUCUCUACUGUCUUUCUUCAAGGCCCGAUUCUUCCAAAAAUCCACAAGUUUCCGCUCCCAAACUGUAAGUUCUCUUACCAUAGAUUGUUCUAAAGCUCAUUACAUGUCUAUAUAGCUUGAAAAUCAUCCAUGAAGGCCAAGAACAAGGAGUUUAUGGCCCAAGAACCCCUAUUAGGCCGUAAACCCCUAAAAGUGUGCCAAAAUGCCCCAAAUCCCUCCCUUAGGCUUAGAGGCUAACUUGGAACUUACCCUUGAAGUGUUUUAGACAUCAAACAUUAUGUUUGGAGGUUUGAAAGAGGGCUUACGGCCCAAGAACAUUCUAAGGCCGUCAACUCCCUCA
This 9552-nucleotide long non-coding RNA is filed under the name Lactuca sativa (garden lettuce). Its description in RNAcentral is "long non-coding RNA (LSAT_LNC006475)". Lineage: Eukaryota; Viridiplantae; Streptophyta; Magnoliopsida; Asterales; Asteraceae. The record is from RNAcentral.